UUUUUUUUAAGCCAGGAUCUGUAAUGCAUGGCUGAGAUGAAGAAACUGGAAGAUGGGCAAAAAAAUUCCCAGAUGUUUCAGCCUACUUAUUUAGCCUUUUCUCAGAGGAUGGGCUUGAGAUAUUGGAUCAUUCUCUGGACUCUGCCAUCAAUUGUGCCCUUCCUGAGCUGUGGAUCCCAACUGGAUGAAAAACCUGAGAGGAUUGAGAAGAUGCUCUUCAGCCACCUCCUUGCCUGGACACUUCGGUAUUAUCUGUCGUUGCUGAUUUGCUUUCUGUAG
Molecule: long non-coding RNA, 279 nt
Filed under: Cyanistes caeruleus (blue tit)
Lineage: Eukaryota; Metazoa; Chordata; Aves; Passeriformes; Paridae
Description: lncRNA (ENSCCEG00000012765.1)
Source: RNAcentral